GGGCUUCGUCUAGUUGUGCGCGACAAUGUUGCAUUAAGUUAGGUCUUGACCAUGGACUACUACAUCUAGAGGACGAGACUCUUCGAGGUUUCCUAUGUCGGCCAUGAGAAAGGGAAGAAAGUCCGUUUCACCGGUGCUACCUAGCGGCCAAGUUCCAGAAGCUCUUACAACUAAACGUCUGCGACCGGCAAAAUUUGAAACAUUUUUUGAAAAUCUUUCGUCUCUGUUUUCAACCUAUUUACAUAAUUUUCUAACGUUGGGAAACAUACAUAUAAAAAACAGUU
This is a long non-coding RNA of Daphnia magna, 284 nucleotides long. RefSeq lists it as uncharacterized. The record is from RefSeq and is a predicted model, not a curated record. The transcript is spliced from 2 exons. NCBI's taxonomy places the organism in Eukaryota, Metazoa, Arthropoda, Branchiopoda, Diplostraca, Daphniidae.